UCUGGAAUAAAGACACCUCGGAAGUGCCGGAAAUUAAGUUAAAGACAACUUCUGAUGGUGAGAUGUUGGAUAAAGAUUUAGCGGAAGUGUCGGAAGGCACUUCUGAUGAUGAAUGGGAGGAUGUAGACACCUCGGAAAUGUCGGAAGGCACUUCUGAUGAUGAAUGGGAGGAUGUAG
This is a long non-coding RNA of Teleopsis dalmanni, 177 nucleotides long. RefSeq lists it as uncharacterized. The record is from RefSeq and is a predicted model, not a curated record. Lineage: Eukaryota; Metazoa; Arthropoda; Insecta; Diptera; Diopsidae. The transcript is spliced from 3 exons.